GCCUUCGGGCAUUUGGUCAAUUUGAAACGAUACAGAGAAGAUGUAGGUUUUUCCACACGUCCUGAGUUCGAAACCCGUACUGACCAAUUCUACAGUAGCAUGGCCCCUGCACUAAGGAUGACACGCUCAAUCAAAGAGAAGCUACAAAUUUUU
RNAcentral lists this small nuclear RNA (153 nucleotides) under Verticillium alfalfae VaMs.102. Lineage: Eukaryota; Fungi; Ascomycota; Sordariomycetes; Glomerellales; Plectosphaerellaceae. The record is from RNAcentral.